This 211-nucleotide long non-coding RNA is filed under the name Setaria viridis. RNAcentral's name for it is "long non-coding RNA (SVIR_LNC007147)". Lineage: Eukaryota; Viridiplantae; Streptophyta; Magnoliopsida; Poales; Poaceae. The record is from RNAcentral.
GGGGAGAGAGGGAUAUAUGAGGAGCUUGUGGACCAAUGUGAGGUUUAAGAAUUUGAUAGGUUUUGAUAUUUUAUCAAGGAUUUGAAUUUCAUAUUUUCAAUGGACUACAAAUAUGAAAAGGGUUUUGGGUAGAUUAGGUGUUACAACAAACAAAAUGCAAUACUCAUGAGAUAUUUUAUAAAUUUUGAAAAAUGUACAAGUACAACUAUAU